This is a long non-coding RNA of Hydra vulgaris (swiftwater hydra), 911 nucleotides long. RefSeq lists it as uncharacterized. The record is from RefSeq and is a predicted model, not a curated record. Lineage: Eukaryota; Metazoa; Cnidaria; Hydrozoa; Anthoathecata; Hydridae.
GUAAGGGUGUACAAAUUUAUCACAAGCGUUUGCGUUUAAGAGGUGUUGGCAUUUGAAAUAAUAACAUUUCAAUUCUAACGAGGCUACUUGACCAAAAAAUAGUGUUGAAAAAAUUAAAAACCUAUUAAGACAAAUUUUUGCAGCUUUACUUUAUUGUAAACAUUUCAAGAUAAACAAGGUUUGACAAGACUUUUGGAAAGUCUUGUCAACUCCCGUCGAUCAGCUAAUAGUCCUUGUACUCUAGUCCUUGUUGAACAAGCUUGCUUGCCAGGCAUAUUACUCUGCUAUUGUAUGAAAUUACAGCAAGAAAAAAAAUCAAGACUAUGAAAGGUUUCAAACGAAUCAUUUUUUAGUAAUGUCUUCGCAAAAAUUGUGACUACAACCUGAUUGGUAUCUUCAGCUAAUGUCUAUGUUUUGAUCAAUUGGCAAACGACUCGCUUAAAAGCAGAUUAGUAUUUAGAUAAUCUGUGAAAUUAAAUAGCUCUAUUUUUACAAGAAUAUACUAUUUUAUUUGUUAAUAGCGGCAUUAAAAAAAAAACUUAUCAUAGACUGAAUUCUAUAGCAACAAAAUCAAAAUAAAAAUUAGGUUUGCGAUUUUCAAUGAUAACCGAUAAAGUUAAUAUCAAUGAAACAAUAUUUGCUUUUGCUUGUUUAAUUCAAAAUUCAUAUUUUUGAUUUAAAAUGAUCGAAAUUGCUAAUCAAGAUUAACACAAAGAAUCAGCGAGCUUUAUAAAAAACAAAGAUCAACAAAACCUCCUUGAUCUUACCAGAGUAAGCUAUUUUUUAAAAUUUAAAGAACGGAGCCACUUUUAAGCACAUUAAAAACAACCGUCUUAAAACUUCUAAACAACCUUUUUUUAUAUGUUGUGUUUGUGACAAAUUACCAAUAUUUUUAUUAGUAGUAGAAGUUA